UGCCAGCAGCCGCGGUAAUACGAAUGGGGCAAGCGUUGUUCGGAAUAACUGGGCUUAAAGCGUCCGCAGGCGGUCUAUAAAGUCAGAAGUGAAAUCCCAGAGCUCAACUCUGGAACUGCUUUUGAAACUUAUAGACUAGAAUAUUGGAGAGGUCGGGAGAAUUCCUAGUGUAGAGGUGAAAUUCGCAGAUAUUAGGAGGAAUACCAGUGGCGUAGGCGCCCGACUGGACAAUUAUUGACGCUCAGGGACGAAGGCGUGGGGAUCAAACAGGAUUAGAUA
Molecule: ribosomal RNA, 279 nt
Filed under: uncultured bacterium
Lineage: Bacteria
Description: partial 16S ribosomal RNA
Rfam family: Bacterial small subunit ribosomal RNA
Source: RNAcentral